This 228-nucleotide ribosomal RNA is filed under the name uncultured bacterium. Its description in RNAcentral is "partial 16S ribosomal RNA". It matches the Rfam family "Bacterial small subunit ribosomal RNA", at positions 103 to 334 of the family's 1533-position model. The record is from RNAcentral.
CGGGUGCGUAACGCGUGGGAAUCUACCUUGUAUGGGGGAUAGCCCGGAGAAAUCCGGAUUAAUACCGCAUAAUCUCUACGGAGCAAAGUGGGGGGAUCUUCGGACCUCACGCUAUUAGAUGAGCCCGCGUUAGAUUAGCUUGUUGGUGAGGUAAUGGCUCACCAAGGCAACGAUCUAUAGCUGGUUUGAGAGGAUGAUCAGCCACACUGGGACUGAGACACGGCCCAG